Molecule: long non-coding RNA, 762 nt
Organism: Oncorhynchus keta (chum salmon)
Lineage: Eukaryota; Metazoa; Chordata; Actinopteri; Salmoniformes; Salmonidae
Exons: 3
Source: RefSeq, a predicted model, not a curated record
AGGUGGUGGGGAUAGGCAGAAGGCAGGUAGAAGGCAGGUAGAAGGCAGGUAGAAGGUGGAGGGGAUAGGCAGGUAGAAGGCAGGUAGAAGGCUUAAGUUGUGAUAUCACUUUCCUGAGCAUGUCUGUGUCAACCAGGGAAAAUAACUCCAUAGUGCCUUUGCGUGGUAGGCUAGGGAACAGAUCAAACUUCUCAGUGGGUCUUGCUUGACUGAUACCCAGCCUAAUUAAGCAAGGUUUGAGUAGGUGUGGUAUAAGAACAGCCCUUAGCCGUGGUAUAUUGGCCAUAUAUCACAAACCCCCUGAGCUUCCUUAUUACUAUUAUAAACUGGUUGCCAAUGUAAUUAGAGCAGUGAAAAUACAUGUUUUGUCAUACCUGUGGUAUACAUUCUGAUAUACCAUGGCUGUCAGCCAAUCAGCAAUCAGUGCUCGACCCACCCAGUUUAUAAUGUGUGUUAUCUUAUCUCUGAAAUAUGCCGCAAACUCAUCACAAUUAGAUGUAGAGGAAAGUUUACAUAGGUUUGCGAGGUUAGGAUUUAGGAUUUAGCAGGCCGUCAAUGGUCAAGAAGAGCACUCUUGAUUUAUUCUGGCUUUUCUAAUUGCCUUGUUAUAUAUGCCAAGUUGCUCUCUCAGAAUAUCAUAAUGGACCUGAAACUUUAGUUUCCUCACUAAUCCAUGGGGUUCUCGGUAUGGAUGUGGCCUUUUUCAUCUUUACUGGAGCUAUGGCAUCAAUGGUUGCCCUUAAUUUACUAUUAAAGUUAUCA